Long non-coding RNA from Felis catus (domestic cat), 787 nucleotides. RefSeq lists it as uncharacterized. The record is from RefSeq and is a predicted model, not a curated record. The transcript has 2 exons. NCBI's taxonomy places the organism in Eukaryota, Metazoa, Chordata, Mammalia, Carnivora, Felidae.
CCAGGAAGGGGCCUUGGGCUCAAGCUUCUCUUUUCUUUAGGCCAUUAGCGCCAGGUGCCUCUGCACUUAUUUGUCUCCUCUGGCCAUGCACGUAUUGAUUAAAGAUAAGCCAGUCUCUCCGGGUGAUAGGUGGCCAGGCCAGUGAGAACUAGCUGGUGCCAUGGAAGGCACGUGGACUUUGGAGUGGAGGCCCGAGGCUUGAACGCUGGCUCUGCCCCUCCCUCUGCCCUGGGACACUUCUGAAUCUCCUCUUCCUCUUCCUCUGCCAGAGAAGAGAUCUAAUCACCGGCUUGAGAGGCCAUGAGGAUGAGCCGAAUAAGAUUGAUGAACCUGUCAGGCUGCUGGCCUGGGCGCUGAGCCCGCUCCCGCCUGAAUUCUCCCGACAGCUGCCCUGCUUCUCCACUUGGACUUGCCGGGGCUCCCGUUGGAACCAAGAAAAGCCUCUGCUCUGCUCCAGUCACACACAAAAAAAUAGCAAGAAUGAUGCAAUAUGUGUCUCUCAUGGCCACAAGCCACGGAGAAGGUCCAGGCGUCCAGAUCCCUACCCCAAAUUCACGCCAGCAUUGCAAAUCAAUGCCUUCUUGUUCCCAUGAAUCCUGGGUAACUCCCACCACUCUACCCGGCAGCAGCUCUGUCACCCCCUUAUCUCGUGACAAAGGCCACCAACCUAGCCACUGAGGCACAAAAUUGGCCGGGUGCAGAGAAAGAGUUUCUAAGUACCUAAUCCCUGUAACCUGACCUUUAAUUCUAAUAACAGUGACAUUUAUUAAAGAUUAUGUGCCUGGCA